AUGGACCUUUUGAGAUCUUGGACACUAUUUGGACCUGCAGCUUACAAACUCCAUCUGCCUAUUGAAGCUCUCAUCCACCCAAUGUUCCAUAUGUCAUGGCUCAAACCUCAUAUACCUGAUCAUACUCCAGUUUUUUCUCAACUGCCAGCUCAUGUGGACCUCUCAUCCCUGAAUAUGUGCCCAAAGAAAAUCCUUGAUCGCAGGAUGGUCAAGAAAAGUAAUGGUGCGCAUAUUCAGGUACUGAUCAAGUGGUCGGGUGUGCCACCAAAAGCUACAACAUGGGAAGAUUAUGAAGUGUUACGACGCCGAUAUCCAACGGCACCAGCAUGGGGACAUGCUGGUUCUCAAAGGAGGGGCAUUGUCACCAGUACACCACUGACGACAAAAGCAAAGGAGAAGGAAGCGCGAAGAAACUGCUGA
Molecule: ribosomal RNA, 420 nt
Filed under: Triticum aestivum (bread wheat)
Lineage: Eukaryota; Viridiplantae; Streptophyta; Magnoliopsida; Poales; Poaceae
Description: partial small subunit ribosomal RNA
Source: RNAcentral